RNAcentral lists this long non-coding RNA (3497 nucleotides) under Glycine max (soybean). RNAcentral describes it as "long non-coding RNA (GMAX_LNC003604)". The record is from RNAcentral. Lineage: Eukaryota; Viridiplantae; Streptophyta; Magnoliopsida; Fabales; Fabaceae.
UCAACCUAGACAUGGUGUGUCCCACAAGUGCACAUUAUUGAUUCUUUUCCUGUGAAAGUUCAUGCACUGAUUUCAUCAAGGACCACUCUUCAAUAUGAAUGUGUGCUUUCUAUCAUUAUGACCAUUAACUUUCAGCCUUUCAGUUAAAACUGCAUCCCAAUCUCUUCAUUAGAGACGAAGACAUAGCUUGAAAGUGAGACGAGAAGAAAACAGUAGAACAUGAACAUGCAAGCGGAACCAUAAGAGUGUUAAAAGGCAUACUUUUCUUUAAGAUACUACACCACCUUCCAAAUAACAUGGAGACUUCAGGGGCCGUUAGCUUCUUACAGGUAUGCAAUCUUACUUUCUGACACUAAUUGCUAUUUAUCGAGGAAACAGCAAAUUAGUAUUGAUGACAAUUGUGAAUUGAAAUAGAUCGGGCAAAUUCGUGGGGUGAGUUUAAAACAAUGCUUAAAUGCCGAAUGCAAAGAAAGAUCAAUCAGUUGCAAAACCCAUGUAAUUACAGACCCAUAUUACAGACUGAAACCUAAAACCUAUGUAAUUACAGACCCAUAUUAGUAUUCAACCAAGAAAACAUAUACACAGGCAAAACCCAAACCAAUCCCACUAAAUAAUUACAAUUCUAAAGUUGUAAGUGGCAGUCCAAAUGUAAACCCAGAAGAAAACACCUAAGAAUGUUUAGCACUACCCUUUAGCUAUCUCCCUACUGGCCUACUCUUCUUUUGCCUAAUGGAUAAACAGAUUCCAACAACACACAGAUACCACCCUACAGCUAAUCCUUGUUGACACAAUCGGUGUUACAGUCAACUGUAAUUUAAUACUACAGGAAACCUAAAGAGAACAAUGUUCAUGAAUCACCACCAGCCUCAGCGAAUGGAUGAUUAUGUUGUCGUACAAACUGCCCCUUCACCCGAGGCCGCUGCUCUGCCAGUCUUUUCCGGCUUUGAUAUCGAACCUAUACAAGAAAUUAGAGUACUUGUUAAUAAGAUCUUUAGUGAAACAUGCUAUAGGAGUUUCCAAGCCAACUGCAAUCAUAGAUAUAAAUUCACCAUAAAUAAUCUUAAAGUAGCCUUUUACUAAGUGCUGUUUAUGAUACCUUUUUCUCGAAGCAUCUCUCUUUCCGCUUCAGUCGAAACUUCACUAGUGCUGCUUCUCUUUGACUGGAGCGAUGAGAAUCUGUCACUCUAAAUCCAUCAUAAUUAUGACAACCACUAUCACUGAAACCAUCUGAGGUGUUCUUGGAUACUAUAGCUGAAGUAGCAUGUCCAUCAUUUCCACUGUCCAUGCUUCCAUAUGCACUACUAUUAACAUGAUUUGCAGCAUCAUGGCAUAAAUUAUUACCAGCACUCUGAUCAGCAGCAGGAGACUCAUGCCUUGCGUGAUCUGAAUCAGUAUUAUCCUUUACAUUUUGAUCAAGACAAGUAGCAUCAUUGGAACAGUCAUGAGGUUGAUCUGAGCAGUGACUUUCAGGAUUGGACUGGGAGGAGGUACUUGUGGGAAAGGGAGAACUCUCAUUCUGGCAGACUGGUUUUGGACUCAACAUGGGGUGAAUGCCAGAUUGUGCAUAGAAAACAGAAGUAAAAACAUGACCAUGUCCCUCAGACUUAAGCUUGGAGAUAACUCCUGAAACAGGUAAGAGUCCAUACUGACCAAUGACUGUACUGAUCAUAUUCUCCAGGUUCUGAUUUGAGUCGUCAUACUGACAAUUUCCAGAUAAUUUAAGGCAUUCAUGAGAAUCCCAAUUGAGCCAGUUUACUUUAGGAGAUGUAAUCGAUGGUGGUGAAAAAAGAGGCUGCAACAAUUUACUAUUACUGUACCUGCAUAUAGAAAUUAUUACCCAUCGUCAGAAAAUCUGUGUAAUCACAAUGAUGUUGAGUUUUUGAAUGGGUCAAUAGGAAAAAAAAAUACUUUAGAAUGAAAUACUGGAUAGUGAUUUCUCAUCAUCCAAGGAUGAAAGCUUAAACAUGGCCUUUAUUUUUGGGUGGUAGGGAGAGGGGGAACCAUAAGAGUGCAGAAAUUUAAUGUUUAAAUAAAAAAAGGGCCAAACCAGUGUAUAGUUUUACAUAGAGAUGAUUUGAUCCAUAAACUUAAAGGAAACAGUCCCAAAUGGUUAUUAACAAAGUCUCUUUGAAGAAUUCUUCUUAUUGUUGAUAACUGUGCACAAAAACACCCAUGUAUCUGUGGUCUUCAAUAUUUUAGAUUUUAGAAGCAUAACUAUAUUUACCAUUAUUAGGAUUAUUGGAUCCUUCCAUAGAUUAUAGGCUCUGAAAAAUAUGUUUCAGUACAAAUCACCAUUUAUUCAGCUUUCAUCAAUACUAAUCCUACAUAUAGAACAACAUAAACAAGACUGACGAAAGACAUGAAAAGCACAUGUUAAAAUUCAAAUAACAAAAUUCCAUGAAGAACUUCCUUCUGCUGACUAAAAUUUGUUUCUUUGAUGGUCAGAGGAAAUAUUGUAUGGCAUCUGGUUUUGGUAGAUAUCAUUUUAAGAACUAAAGAAGUCAAGAAAGCACUGAACUCACCAAGAAAAGGCAGAAGUAUUUGAAUGGUUCAAUCUUUGAGAUUCCUCAGUUGAUUCACUUGCUUGUUUACCUGAGCUGCCAGGAAAAUCACUUCUUAAGGAAAGUUCCAAUUGCGUUUCACAAUCAAACUUGGUUGUAUUACCACCAUUGAGACUACAGUUUUCAUUAGGGUGCUUUGGAAGAUUUCCAAAUGUGGCAAUCAAGUCAAUAGCUCCUUUAGAAGGUUUCACCUGCUCAGCAUUGCAUCCAUGCAAUAUAGAAACAUGAGAAUUGUCUCUGCCUAACUCAGAUUUUAAGAUUUCAUCCUCGUUUUCAGUUUCAGGUUCAGCAACACCACAGUCUUGUUCUAGCAUUAAAUCUGUCAAUUCAAAACUUUUGUCACACCUUGCAGCCUCUGAUACAAUUGUAAUUGAUUUAUCUGCAUUAAAUGUUUUUAAUAGACGACAAAACAGUCAGCACAUUGAAACAAGAUAAAAACAAAUUCUAAUCAAAGUGUAAAACAAAAUUCGCCUACCCUCUGUUUCAUCAUUAUGCUUAGCUGAUUUCCUUUCAAAUUUGGCAAACUUUUCAUGGUCCACCAUAUCAAUUUUGUUCAGUUUAGAACUUUCCAGCUGGGGCACAUCCUGCAUAUUUUCCACAAAUGUACUCUCGGCUUCAAAAAUUGGGGAUGCACAAGUGCUCUGCACAUGAGUUUGCAUAACUUGGCAAUGUACAUCCUGGGACACAUCCUGCAUAUUUUCCAUGUAUGUACUCGCAGCUUCCAUAAUUGGUGAUGUACAAGUGCUCUGCACAAGAGUUUGCAAACUUGUGGUUUCUAUGUGAAAUUUCAUGAAACAAAACUAAUCUAGAAAGAAUAUUUUUCCAAAAGCUAAGUGGCUUUGAAAAUGCAUUGUGCAAUAGAUUUCAGGUUGCAUGUCUUUAUAUGCUACUCAAGCCAAGAAGUGAGUGAAAACUGUCGAUAGAAUUUCAGAAAUA